ACGCUGGCGGCGCGCCUUACGCAUGCAAGUCGAGCGGUUCCGAUGGCUUCGGCUAUCGGGAUAGCGGCGGACGGCUGAGUAACGCGUAGGUAACCUGCCCGGAGGUGGGGGAUAACCCCGCGAAAGCGGGGCUAAUACCGCAUGUGCUCUUGGGGGGAGGCUCCCCAAGAGGAAAGCCGAAAGACGCUUCCGGAGGGGCCUGCGACCUAUCAGGUAGUUGGUGGGGUAACGGCUCACCAAGCCGACGACGGGUAGCUGGUCUGAGAGGACGGUCAGCCAGACGGGGACUGAGACACGGCCCCGACUCCUACGGGAGGCAGCAGCGAGGAAUCUUGGGCAAUGGGCGAAAGCCUGACCCAGCGACGCCGCGUGGGGGAAGAAGGCUCUCGGGUCGUAAACCCCUUUUGCCGGGGAAGAAGCUCUGACGGUACCCGGCGAAUAAGCCACGGCUAACUACGUGCCAGCAGCCGCGGUAAUACGUAGGUGGCGAGCGUUGUCCGGAUUUACUGGGCGUAAAGGGCGUGUAGGCGGCCCGUUAAGUCCGCUGUGAAAUCUCCCGGCUCAACUGGGAGGGGUCAGCGGAUACUGGCGGGCUAGAGGGGGGCAGAGGAAGGUGGAAUUCCCGGUGGAGCGGUGAAAUGCGUAGAUAUCGGGAGGAACACCAGUGGCGAAGGCGGCCUUCUGGGCCCAUCCUGACGCUGAGGCGCGAAAGCGUGGGGAGCGAACCGGAUUAGAUACCCGGGUAGUCCACGCCCUAAACGUUGGACACUAGGUGUGGGGGGUGUCGACUCCCUCUGUGCCGUAGCUUACGCUUUAAGUGUCCCGCCUGGGGAGUACGGCC
Molecule: ribosomal RNA, 841 nt
Filed under: uncultured Bacillota bacterium
Lineage: Bacteria; Bacillati; Bacillota
Description: bacterial SSU rRNA
Rfam family: Bacterial small subunit ribosomal RNA
Source: RNAcentral